Long non-coding RNA from Sander lucioperca (pikeperch), 192 nucleotides. RefSeq lists it as uncharacterized. Lineage: Eukaryota; Metazoa; Chordata; Actinopteri; Perciformes; Percidae. The record is from RefSeq and is a predicted model, not a curated record. The transcript has 3 exons.
UGGAGUGACAAGCUGUUGUGUGCAGACUGAUCUCAUGAAGUGGUAUAAGUAUGACACGCCAAUUCGUAUGCCAUUUUUGGUGUGUUAUCAAGACUCAUACUCACUUUUCAGCGUGUUUAUCAACACCGUUUGGCCUCCAUUGACUUACAUUACCUUGUGAUUGCGUGGGAAUUUACGCCGUAGCGAGUAGUA